This is a long non-coding RNA of Styela clava, 2088 nucleotides long. RefSeq lists it as uncharacterized. NCBI's taxonomy places the organism in Eukaryota, Metazoa, Chordata, Ascidiacea, Stolidobranchia, Styelidae. The record is from RefSeq and is a predicted model, not a curated record.
UUUUUAUUUUUUCACAUUCGCCCUUUCGUCAUAAAGCUGUCCAAUUGAAAAGUCGAGACCAAUGAUGACCACGAAAGCGCCAACUACGGUAAGUAAUCCCUGACCUUGAAUUUUAAGCAAAAUUUUAAUUUUCAUUGCACACAAAAGUCGGUUAUAUCGAACUAAUAACACCAUUGUAUUAUGUUCAAAAUAAAUCAAUCAUAAAAUAUAAAAUUUAUCAUCUCGAUAACGUCAUUUCCCCUGGCGUCGUGACGAUGAUUAUAGGUGAUGAAUAGCCACAAAGAACCGCUAAUGUGUAAAUGAUUGCGCAGGGCGGGUCGAAGAUCGGCUUCCAUCGAGAGACCUCGUGUCUUACAUUGACCGUAAAUCAUUCGAUAUGGCGCGAGGUAGCGAACGGCUGUUGUGUGUUUCGAGAAAUUUUGACAGUAGUAUGGCUACUAUAAAACAGGAAGCUAAUAUGAAUGUGAAAUUUGGAUAAAAUUGAUUUUUAUGGCCGUCAUAAGAGAGGACAUUUUCAAUGAUUAGUAUUAUUUUUUAAGGAUCCACAAAGGUAGUUUGAAUGCGGUAUUUUGGGAGAGGAAUAAACUGGUUAGAAAGAAUGUGAAGUGUCUCAGAGAACUGCAACUGAGCGUAUCUCACGGGUGUAUCCAGCCCAUGGUUACUUGAGUUGUCUUUGAAAAAAAAAACUGAGACAAAUGGUUAUCUCAAUUUUCUUUCACGCAUUUAAGCUGCAAUUUCAAUAAUUUGUAUUUUUAUUCGAACGCCACCUUAACUAUAAAAUUUAUAUCUGUUGAACAUUGUGAAGGAACCUACUUGAUAACAUGGAUUUAAGAAAUGUGAAAUAAACUACUGUCGAAGGUUGGCAUUUUGAAGACAGGAAAUAAGUGAGCGGUCAGCGGAAAAAUGCGACUACAAACCGGCAAGAAAUGGUAGAUACACCGAGGUCCGAUAUUUGACAGGAUUGUGAUAAUAAACUGGAAGAGAACGCUCGGCUGACCUGCAUUCCUCUUGGGCCGCCUGGUGGAUACCUUGAUGACAUGAAUGACUGAAAAGAAAAAAAGAAGUCAUGAAAAUCAGGACUCAGAAUUUCAGGAGUCCAAAUUCAUGAAACCUCAACACUAUAGGAUCACCUCUGUGAACAAGAUCUCAUUGUGAAAAGUCUGAAAGAGCUAUUGAAUAUAAAACUAUGCAGAUACAAGUCAACAAUGUUAAGGUAGCCUUCAGUUGCUUGUUUCUGGUUGCUUCACUUUUGGACUCAAGAACAGCAUUAUAAACUAGAUAGCUUCCCAAAGGAAGGAAUGUUUUUAAUCUACUCCAGAACUUGGAGGUAUGGCCAACACAGAAUUACAAAACUAACCUGUCGAAUCAUAGGAUUACUUGGAUUAUGGUGAGGUGAAGGCGAGGCAGCAGAACCAGGCUGAAAUGAAUAAAAUAAGUGUGAUACAUGAGGAAGCAGCAAGUGAAAAGUGCACGAUGCUUGUGAGUUUAAUGUGGAACUGAAGUAUUGAUCCAUUGGGAUUACGAUGAUGACUAAAAAAAUCAACAAAUCAGUAUUUAUGUAACUGAUAUUAAUUUUGGUGCACAUAGCACAAAAAUGUGAUUUAACUUUUGCUGGGUUUAUCUUAUUAAUUGAAUUACUAUGAUUGCAGUAAUGUUGAAAAUUAUAUUUGUUAUGAUUUAAAAAGUGCGAGCAAGCUCAGAGUGUAAUAUUAAUCUAUGGCAUGUAUAAUAUAAAAACAUUUCGACGAUUUAUUAUUUGUUUGUACAUGAUUUGUUUCAUAAUUAUUGAGAAAAGUGAAAACCGAAUGAAAAAUGGGUAGUUAUUUUAUUAUUUCUUAAUAAUAAGUUUGCAAUGUAAAAAUGGAAAUGUUUUGAAUUUGCAUGCACUGUGUUGUUAUUAUACUUAUUAAUGUCCAAUUAGAUUUGAAAUUCUUGGUAAUGCAUUUUCACUCCUCCAAUUAGUUGGAAAAUAGGAGUAAUCAUAUGUGCGAAUCAUUGUAGUAAAUAAAAAUUCAGAUAACGACUCAAACUAAAUAUACCUAACUGAAUACACCAUUACACUAAUCAAGUAAAUUUGUCUAAAUCUUG